UUGAUCCUGGCUCAGAAUCAACGCUGGCGGCGUGCCUAACACAUGCAAGUCGAACGCGAAAGUGGAGCAAUCCAUGAGUAGAGUGGCAAACGGGUGAGUUACACGUGGGUGACCUGCCUUCGAGUGGGGGAUAACGUCCCGAAAGGGACUCUAAUACCGCAUAAUAUGCUGUCUUUUAAGAGAGAGACAUCAAAGCUGGUGACCGCAAGGCCUGGCGCUUGAAGAGGGGCCCGCGCCUGAUUAGCUAGUUGGUGGGGUAAUGGCUCACCAAGGCAACGAUCAGUAUCCGGCCUGAGAGGUCGGACGGACACACUGGGACUGAGACACGGCCCAGACUCCUACGGGAGGCUGCAGUGGGGAAUUGUUCGCAAUGGGCGCAAGCCUGACGACGCAACGCCGUGUGGAGGAUGAAGACCUUCGGGUCGUAAACUCCUUUCGAUCGAGACGAAUGGCCCUUGGGUUAAUAGCCCGAGGGAGUGACGGUACCGAGAGAAGAAGCUCCGGCUAACUCCGUGCCAGCAGCCGCGGUAAUAAGGU
This 537-nucleotide ribosomal RNA is filed under the name uncultured Acidobacteriota bacterium. RNAcentral's name for it is "bacterial SSU rRNA". It matches the Rfam family "Bacterial small subunit ribosomal RNA", at positions 13 to 529 of the family's 1533-position model. Lineage: Bacteria; Pseudomonadati; Acidobacteriota. The record is from RNAcentral.